RNAcentral lists this ribosomal RNA (797 nucleotides) under uncultured Pelagibacteraceae bacterium. Its description in RNAcentral is "bacterial SSU rRNA". It matches the Rfam family "Bacterial small subunit ribosomal RNA", at positions 44 to 889 of the family's 1533-position model. Lineage: Bacteria; Pseudomonadati; Pseudomonadota; Alphaproteobacteria; Candidatus Pelagibacterales; Candidatus Pelagibacteraceae. The record is from RNAcentral.
ACGCCUUAUACAUGCAAGUCGAACGAAGUAGCAAUACUUAGUGGCAGACGGGUGAGUAACAUGUGGGUAUCUUCCCUUUGGUGAGGAAUAACACGAGGAAACUUGUGCUAAUACCUCAUAAGUCUUUACGGAGAAAGCUUUAUGCGCCAAUGGAUGAGCCCGCACUUGAUUAGUUUGUUGGUGGGGUAAUGGCCUACCAAGACUUUGAUCAAUAGCUGAUUUGAGAGGAUGAUCAGCCACAUUGGGACUGAGACACGGCCCAAACUCCUACGGGAGGCAGCAGUAAGGAAUCUUGCACAAUGGAGGAAACUCUGAUGCAGCGAUGCCGCGUGAGUGAAGAAGGCCUUUGGGUUGUAAAGCUCUUUCGUCGGGGAAGAAAAUGACUGUACCCGAAUAAGAAGGUCCGGCUAACUUCGUGCCAGCAGCCGCGGUAAUACGAAGGGACCUAGCGUAGUUCGGAAUUACUGGGCUUAAAGAGUUCGUAGGUGGUUAAAAAAGUUGGUGGUGAAAUCCCAGAGCUUAACUCUGGAACUGCCAUCAAAACUUUUUAGCUAGAGUAUGAUAGAGGAAAGCAGAAUUUCUAGUGUAGAGGUGAAAUUCGUAGAUAUUAGAAAGAAUACCAAUUGCGAAGGCAGCUUUCUGGAUCAUUACUGACGCUGAGGAACGAAAGCAUGGGUAGCGAAGAGGAUUAGAUACCCUCGUAGUCCAUGCCGUAAACGAUGUGUGUUAGACGUUGGAAAUUUAUUUUCAGUGUCGCAGCGAAAGCGAUAAACACACCGCCUGGGGAGUACGACCGC